Molecule: long non-coding RNA, 1420 nt
Filed under: Equus caballus (horse)
Lineage: Eukaryota; Metazoa; Chordata; Mammalia; Perissodactyla; Equidae
Description: lncRNA (ENSECAG00000050227.1)
Source: RNAcentral
AAAAGGAAUUGCAAGCUGAGGCUGGGGUAGUGGUUGGGUGGUAUGUGGGAAAGGAAAGUCUCUUUGAGAAGGUGACAUUUUUACAAACUUGGAGGAGCUUCCAGCUGUGUGAUUGUGACAUCUUGACAUCCUGCCCAGUGAAGCCAUCAGGUGAUGGCAGCCUCAGCCAACAUGUGACUGCAACAUGGAUGCUGCCACAGCAUGGCCUGACAAGUGGUGUGUAGGUCCAUGCCCAGCACCUGAACCGACGAACCCUGGGCCGCCGAAGCAGAACAUGCCAACUUAACCACUCGACCACAGAGCUGGCCCUUUGUGAUCUUUUUAAUAUCUGCCUGAAUAGAAGACAGCUGAAUUUUCAUAUCUCUUCUGCAUUUAGUCUACUGUUAUAUAUUGCUUUGGUUGAAGGAGGUGAAGGAAAAUCAGCCUCACAGAGACAUGUAGGAAAAGGGACUUCCUCAGAGACCCCUUGAAGGGAUCUUGGGGGCCCCCAAGGAUCCUCAGACCACACUUUGGAAAUUGCUGAUUUAAAUUCAUAAAACUGGAUGAAAUCCCUAAGGGAGAAGAGAAGAGACCCAAGGACUCAGCCCCGGGCGUAGAGAUUUCAAGAGACCAGGGAGAUGGAGACAAACCAGCAAAGGAGACUGAGGUAGGAGGAAAACCAAGAGGUGGUGACCUGGAAGCCAAGCGGAGAAGGGUUUGUGCGUGUGUAUGCUGGUAGACCCUGAAUGGAUCCCUCCAAGCCAGACUGAUGGACAAGCCAGUGGCCUGAGGGAGGUGGCACAACCUGGGGCUGCAGGUGGAGACCGAAGAAGAUUCAUUGCAGUGUCUUGGCACAGGGACAACAGCAGGGUGCCUUCACAAGGAAGACCAGGGAGAAGAACUCAGCAGCCCUGGUCCUGAGCUCACAUUGACAGCUCUUCUGUGAGGGGCUGAGUCAUGUGGAGCUUGGCAUCCCCACUCUCUGGUAACCCAUCACUGUAUGACCUUGUGAAGUAGCCUCAGGCCAGAGUGGCCAGGGCAGCACUGGGAGUUCCUAAGAUGGAGACAGGGCAGCAGCAUUUCCCCAGCUGAUCUCCCCUGUGAACUGCUGGUCUAGAGGCACGUUAAGGGAUUGGUAUUCCAGGAAACACAUGCUGAUUCAUGCAGAUAUAAAACCAGAGGAGAUGGAAGGGACCUCUGAGGAUAUGUUGGUUCACUGGUUCUCAUCUGGGGGCAUUGGAAUCACCUGGGUACUUGAAAAUACAGAGCCUUGGGCCCCAUCCAGACCUACUGAAUUAGAAUCUCUGAUGACGGUGAGGGUCUGGCAUGCAUAUUAUUAUUACUUUUUUUUUUUUUUUGAGGAAGAUUAGCCCUGAGCUAACAUCUGCUGCCAAUCCUCCUCUUUUUGCUGAGAAAGACUGGCCCUGAGCUAACAUCUGUG